AUUCGACGGCAGGCUCCGUGCUUUGGCAUCGAACUGUCGGCUCGUACCCCGCUUCAGUGAUGCAUCAAGAUUUGUGUCUUGUGCGCGGUUAGGUUUCUGUUUUGGCUACCUAUCGUAAAGGAAUGUUGCCUCUCGUUGUCCCUUCAUCCUCUUGCUGGCCUUGCUGGCGGGAGGACGACAUUGUAGCGAUGCCCGUGUCCCGAACAACCCACAGUUUUUGUGCGAUUGUGUCGGUGCUCGAGUUUUUGCUUGAUAUCUCGGAUGCGGAACACUAGAGGGACGAUGGGUCUCUAUGGCCUCCUAUCGUCCAUUCGAAGCCUUGUCGCUCGAUGCGUACGACUGUUGUGCCCGUGGCGAGCGAUCGACCUUCAAGGUCGUUUGUCUCGCGCGGCGCCGGCGUCGAAGAGGAAUGCUACCUGGUU
RNAcentral lists this unclassified non-coding RNA (422 nucleotides) under Vauquelinia californica. Its description in RNAcentral is "partial external transcribed spacer". Lineage: Eukaryota; Viridiplantae; Streptophyta; Magnoliopsida; Rosales; Rosaceae. The record is from RNAcentral.